This 585-nucleotide ribosomal RNA is filed under the name uncultured marine eukaryote. Its description in RNAcentral is "SSU rRNA". It matches the Rfam family "Eukaryotic small subunit ribosomal RNA", at positions 616 to 1202 of the family's 1831-position model. The record is from RNAcentral.
UGGUUAAAAAGCUCGUAGUUGGAUCUCAACAGCCUUGAAGCGGAUAACUUUGUAGUUUUACUGCUUUAUAGGCUGUGCUUUUGCUGGAGGUUUAGGGGUGCUCUUGAUCGAGUGUCUCUGGAUGCCAGCAGGUUUACUUUGAAAAAAUUAGAGUGCUCAAAGCAGGCUAAAAUGCCUGAAUAUUCGUGCAUGGAAUAAUAGAAUAGGAUGUCGAUCCUAUUUUGUUGGUUUUCGGGACUCGACAUAAUGAUAAAUAGGGACAGUCGGGGGCAUUUGUAUUCAAACGACAGAGGUGAAAUUCUUGGACCGUUUGAAGACAAACUACUGCGAAAGCAUUUGCCAAGAAUGUUUUCAUUAAUCAAGAACGAAAGUUAGAGGUUCGAAGGCGAUUAGAUACCGCCCUAGUUCUAACCAUAAACGAUGCCAGCUAGCGAUCUGCCUGCGUUUUUACUGUAGACUGGGCAGGAAGCUUCCGGGAAACCAAAGCAUUUGGGUUCCAGGGGAAGUAUGGUUGCAAAGCUGAAGCUUAAAGGAAUUGACGGAAGGGCACCACCAGGAGUGGAGCCUGUGGCUUAAUUUGACUCA